UACAGAGGGUGCGAGCGUUAAUCGGAAUUACUGGGCGUAAAGGGCGCGUAGGCGGUCUAUCAAGUGAGAUGUGAAAUCCCCGGGCUUAACCUGGGAACUGCAUCUUAAACUGAUAGGCUGGAGUACUGUAGAGGAUAGUGGAAUUUCCGGUGUAGCGGUGAAAUGCGUAGAGAUCGGAAGGAACAUCAGUGGCGAAGGCGACUGUCUGGACAGAUACUGACGCUGAGACGCGAAAGCGUGGGGAGCGAACAGG
This 253-nucleotide ribosomal RNA is filed under the name uncultured bacterium. Its description in RNAcentral is "partial 16S ribosomal RNA". It matches the Rfam family "Bacterial small subunit ribosomal RNA", at positions 524 to 776 of the family's 1533-position model. The record is from RNAcentral.